This 32-nucleotide non-coding RNA is filed under the name Rattus norvegicus (Norway rat). Lineage: Eukaryota; Metazoa; Chordata; Mammalia; Rodentia; Muridae. The record is from RNAcentral.
UGACAGAAUGACAGAGGGCCAUCUAUGCCUGC